GAUGAACGCUGGCGGCGUGCCUAAUACAUGCAAGUCGAGCGAACGGACGAGAAGCUUGCUUUUCUGAUGUUAGCGGCGGACGGGUGAGUAACACGUGGAUAACCUACCUAUAAGACUGGGACAACUUCGGGAAACCGGAGCUAAUACCGGAUAAUAUUUUGAACCGCAUGGUUCAAAAGUGAAAGACGGUCUUGCUGUCACUUAUAGAUGGAUCCGCGCUGCAUUAGCUAGUUGGUAAGGUAACGGCCUACCAAGGCAACGAUGCAUAGCCGACCUGAGAGGGUGAUCGGCCACACUGGAACUGAGACACGGUCCAGACUCCUACGGGAGGCAGCAGUAGGGAAUCUUCCGCAAUGGGCGAAAGCCUGACGGAGCAACGCCGCGUGAGUGAUGAAGGUCUUCGGAUCGUAAAACUCUGUUAUUAGGGAAGAACAUAUGUGUAAGUAACUGUGCACAUCUUGACGGUACCUAAUCAGAAAGCCACGGCUAACUACGUG
This 497-nucleotide ribosomal RNA is filed under the name uncultured bacterium. Its description in RNAcentral is "partial 16S ribosomal RNA". It matches the Rfam family "Bacterial small subunit ribosomal RNA", at positions 28 to 507 of the family's 1533-position model. The record is from RNAcentral.